This 1197-nucleotide ribosomal RNA is filed under the name Triticum aestivum (bread wheat). RNAcentral's name for it is "partial small subunit ribosomal RNA". The record is from RNAcentral. Lineage: Eukaryota; Viridiplantae; Streptophyta; Magnoliopsida; Poales; Poaceae.
AUGGCGUCGGCGGGCGUGGUGGCCGCGGCGGCGGUGGUGGCGGCGCUGGCGGCCUUCUGCGCGACGGACCCGCUGCGGCUGGGCUCCAUGGCCGACUUCCCGGGCUUCGACGCGCUCCCCGUGGAGCUCCCGGACGCGGCCGAGAUGCCCCCGCACGCGGACGCCGCGGAGCGGCUGCGCGGCGCCGAGAUCCGGUUCCGCGGCGAGGUGCAGGGCCCCGAGAGCGUCGCCUUCGACCCGCUCGGCCGCGGGCCCUACACGGGCGUCGCCGACGGCCGCGUCCUCGUCUGGGACGGCGCCCGCUGGGCCUACUUCGCGCACGCCUCCCCCGCCUGGACCGCCGAGCGCUGCGGCGGGCCCAAGGCGUCCCCCAUGGAGUACCUCAAGGACGAGCACGUCUGCGGCCGCGCGCUCGGCAUCCGGUUCGACAAGCGCAACGGGGACCUCUACAUCGCCGACGCCUACUUCGGCCUCUCCAAGGUCGGGCCCGAGGGCGGGCUGGCCACGCCGCUCGCCACGGAGGCCGAGGGCGUGCGCUUCAACUUCACCAACGACCUCGACCUCGACGCCGACGGCAACGUCUACUUCACCGACAGCAGCGUCCUCUACCAGAGAAGGCAUUUCAUGCAGUUGGUUUUCUCUGGAGAUGCCUCUGGGAGGCUCUUGAAAUACAAUCCCGAAACAAAGGAGACAACAGUCCUUCACCGCAACCUCCAGUUUCCCAACGGAGUGAGCUUAAGCAAGGAUGGCUCGUUCUUCGUCUUCUGUGAAGGAUCUCGUGGAAGGUUGAGCAGAUACUGGCUGAAAGGUGAGAAGGCAGGCACCGUCGAUCUCUUCGCCAUCCUGCCUGGGUUCCCGGACAACGUGAGGACCAACGACAAGGGCGAAUUCUGGGUGGCAAUCCAUUGCCGACGCAGCGCAUACGCCCGGCUCUUGAGUCGCCGCGUCCAGCUCAGAAAGUUCUUGCUCAGCCUCCCGAUCCCCGCCAAGUAUCACUACCUGAUGCAAAUCGGCGGCAAUCUGCACGCGCUCAUCAUCAAGUACAGCCCUGAAGGCGAGGUGCUUGACAUCUUGGAGGACACUAAAGGGCAGGUGGUGAGAGCUGUGAGCGAAGUGGAGGAGAAGGAUGGCAAGCUCUGGAUAGGAUCUGUUCUCAUGCCCUUCAUUGCCGUCUUUGACUACGCCAAGGAAUCCUAA